RNAcentral lists this ribosomal RNA (441 nucleotides) under uncultured bacterium. Its description in RNAcentral is "partial 16S ribosomal RNA". It matches the Rfam family "Bacterial small subunit ribosomal RNA", at positions 338 to 795 of the family's 1533-position model. The record is from RNAcentral.
CCUACGGGAGGUAGCAGUGGGGGAUAUUGCACAAUGGGGGGAACCCUGAUGCAGCGACGCCGCGUGGGUGAAGGAGUGCUUCGGCAUGUAAAGCCCUAUCGGCAGGGAAGAAGCAAGACGGUACCUGACUAAGAAGCCCCGGCUAACUACGUGCCAGCAGCCGCGGUAAUACGUAGGGCGCGAGCGUUAUCCGGAUUCACUGGGUGUAAAGGGAGCGUAGACGGCCAUGCAAGCCAGGGGGGAAAGCCCGGGGCGCAACCCCGGGACUGCCCUUGGAACUGUGCGGAUAGAGUGCGGGAGGGGCAGGGGGAAUUCCUGGUGUAGCGGUGAAAUGCGUAGAGAGCAGGAGGAACACCGGCGGCGAAGGCGGCCUGCUGGACCGCGACUGACGUUGAGGCUCGAAAGCGUGGGGAGCGAACAGGAUUAGAUACCCUUGUAGUC